UGCGCGUAAGGGCUCGUAGCGGUUCGUCGCGUCCGGUGUGAAAGUCCAUCGCUUAACGGUGGAUCCGCGCCGGGUACGGGCGGGCUUGAGUGCGGUAGGGGAGACUGGAAUUCCCGGUGUAACGGUGGAAUGUGUAGAUAUCGGGAAGAACACCAAUGGCGAAGGCAGGUCUCUGGGCCGUCACUGACGCUGAGGAGCGAAAGCGUGGGGAGCGAACAGGAUUAGAUACCC
RNAcentral lists this ribosomal RNA (231 nucleotides) under Bifidobacterium adolescentis. RNAcentral describes it as "partial 16S ribosomal RNA". It matches the Rfam family "Bacterial small subunit ribosomal RNA", at positions 555 to 787 of the family's 1533-position model. The record is from RNAcentral. Lineage: Bacteria; Bacillati; Actinomycetota; Actinomycetes; Bifidobacteriales; Bifidobacteriaceae.